UUCCCCCCACCCACUCCGCUCCUUCUCCCCACACGCUCUCACACCGACUCGCGCGCACACACUCACGCACACACGCACGCAGAGCAAGUCUCUCGCGCUCGCUCUUGCAGACAGACAGGGAGACAGAAGAUGGCUGACUCGCCCGGGCAACCCACAGUCCAGCCCGCCCGCAUCCCCGACCCUCCCAGAGCCGCUUUCUCCUUUGACACUCGCUGACGCCUUCGCCCAGCGCUGAAAGCCGCCGCCGCCGCCCCCCCGCCCCGCAUCCUCGCUCCCUUCCCACAACCUUCCCCCUUCAACCUUCCCCCAAAUAAUACCAGCAGCCAUUUCAUCUCCACCAAAGUAGAUACGUACAAAAAAUGGCAGAAAUGGAGAAGGAAGGGAGACCUCCCGAAAAUAAAAGAAGCAGGAAGCCGGCUCACCCCGUGAAAAGGGAAAUCAAUGAAGAGAUGAAGAACUUUGCAGAAAACACCAUGAAUGAGCUCCUUGGCUGGUAUGGUUAUGAUAAGGUUGAAUUAAAAGAUGGAGAAGAUAUUGAAUUCAGGAACUACCCUGCAGAUGGGGAGAGCCGACAGCACAUUUCUGUUCUCAAAGAAAAUUCUUUGCCAAAAACAAAAUUACCUGAAGACAGUGUUAUUUCAUCAUACAGUAUAAACACAAGCUAUCCAGGGCUCACCACAGGAAAUGGACUCUCUGACUCACCAGCAGGGUCAAAGGAGCAUGGAAAUGUUCCCAUCAUUGUCCCAUUAAUUCCACCACCGUUCAUUAAGCCACCAGCAGAAGAUGAUGUGUCAAAUGUACAAAUAAUGUGUGCCUGGUGCCAGAAAGUGGGAAUCAAGCGUUAUUCUUUGAGUAUGGGGAGCGAAGUGAAAUGCUUCUGCAGUGAGAAAUGCUUUGCAGCUUGCCGAAGAGCAUACUUCAAGAGAAACAAGGAAAAGAAUAUUGAUAUUAUAAAGAAUUGCAUGAAUUGGAGAUUCAUAUCUUUCAAGAAGCUCCCUGUUUAUUUCUCCGAAAAGGCUAGAGAUGAAGAUGGACAUGCUGAAAAUUUUCCCCAGCAGCACUAUGCUAAGGAAACUCCAAGACUUGCCUUCAAGAAUAACUGCGAACUACUUGUAUGUGACUGGUGUAAGCACAUAAGACACACAAAAGAGUAUCUGGAUUUUGGGGACGGGGAAAGAAGGCUUCAGUUCUGCAGUGCAAAAUGUCUCAAUCAGUACAAAAUGGACAUUUUCUACAAAGAGACACAGGCCAAUCUUCCAGCUGGACUCUGCAGCACAUUACAUCCUCCAGUCGAAAAUAAAGCAGAAGGCACUGGGGUGCAGCUGCUGACUCCAGAUUCUUGGAAUAUACCGCUAGCAGAUGCUCGGAGAAAGGCCCCAUCCCCAGUGUCUGCAGCUGGCCAAAUUCAAGGUCCUGGACCAUCCGCAUCUACCACUGCCUCUCCGCCUGAAACUGCCAACUGCUCUGUCACUAAAAUCCCAACGCCUGUUCCCAAACCUAUUCCCAUCAAUGAGAAUCCAAAUAUGCCACCGGUUUCCAUCCAGCCACCUGCUAGCAUUGUGCCUCCAAUUGGUGUCCCACCUCGAAGUCCUCCCAUGGUGAUGACAAACCGUGGGCCUGUCCCCUUGCCCAUAUUCAUGGAACAGCAAAUCCUGCAGCAAAUCCGUCCCCCAUUUAUUCGAGGGCCACCUCAUCAUGCCUCAAAUCCAAAUAGCCCUCUGUCCAAUCCAAUGAUUCCUGGAAUUGGUCCACCACCAGGUGGCCCAAGAAAUAUGGGCCCCACCUCCAGUCCUAUGCACAGGCCAAUGCUGUCCCCCCAUAUUCACCCUCCAACAACCCCAACUAUGCCUGGAAAUCCCCCAGGUUUACUACCCCCUCCGCCUCCGGGAGUCCCUUUGCCCAGCCUUCCUUUUCCCCCAGUAAGCAUGAUGCCAAAUGGUCCUGUGCCCAUGCCACAGAUGAUGAACUUUGGCUUGCCAUCUCUUGCCCCCCUGGUGCCACCCCCAACCCUGUUAGUGCCAUAUCCUGUCAUUGUCCCUCUUCCAGUUCCUAUCCCCAUUCCAAUCCCCAUUCCACACAUCAAUGAUUCCAAACCCCCAAAUGGCUUCUCCAGCAAUGGGGAGAGUUUCAUUCCAAGUACAUCUAGCGAUGCGACUGGGGCAAAGCCAACAAAUAACUCUGUGUCCCCCAGAGAUCCGAAACAAGGGCCUUCCAAGUCUUCUGACUCAACACCAAGCUGCUCAGGCCAGUCGUUAAAUCAAAUGCCAGUGCAUCAGGAGCACAGUAAAAAUGAAGUUGUUGAUUUGACUGUGAGACCUAGUAGUCCGGUAAACAACAAAUUUGGUUUUCCUACAGCACUACAGGGACCACAGGAUGGUGUGAUAGACUUAACUGUAAGUCACAGGUCUAGACUACACAAUGUUAUCCACAGGGCUUUACAUGCUCAAGUCAAAGUUGAACAUGAAGCUAGCAGUGUUGUAAACCUGACUUUUGGUAGUGCAGAUAAAAGGAACUGCAGUGACUGCAGGAACAAUUGCAGCUCCACUGAAACAAAGACGUUACCUUGUAGUGACCCAGCUCACUGUGGUCCUAUCACACUGGCCUCUGGCACGCCAGAGAAUAGUGCAGGUGCAGUUUGCAACGUCAUUGUGAAUGGCACGAAGGCCCCAGAGGUUUCUAAGAACUCAGAGCAGCCCCAAGAGCAGAAGAAGUCGCAGCCUCUGGAGGAACUGCCAGUGAGUGAGCUGGAGUCUGUUAAGGAAAACAACUGUACGUCAAACUGCCGCCGGGAAGCAGAGUCUGGUAAGAAGACUGGGGAAGAACCCCUCUUUGGGGGAGACAAGCAAGAUCCCAACCUUAACAAUCCUGCAGAUGAGGACCAUGCAUAUGCUUUGCGGAUGCUACCCAAAACAGGCUGUGUCAUCCAGCCUGUGCCAAAACCAGCGGAAAAGACUGCUAUUUCACCAUGCAUUAUCUCAACACCAAUUCUCAGCACAGGGCCAGAAGAUCUGGAGCCACCACUGAAAAGGAGGUGUCUCCGAAUUCGAAAUCAGAAUAAGUAAAGGUUUGUGUAAUCACUACAGUCUUCUGUGUGAGCAGAGUGAAUAUCAGUGUUUUCAGGAAUGCUCAAUUUGACAGGGUAACUUGCAUGGAGAAAGGGAGCAGAGCAAACCAUACUACUUCACCAAACAACACCAGCUGGUCCACUCACCACCCCUUCUGGUUAAAAGUCAAGAAAGCAAAGUCGCUUUCGAUCAUUAAUUCUCACGGAGAGAAGGCUCAAACCUUUGGGUGCCUUUGGCUCAGAAGACUGUAAGCACAUCAUGGACACCACGAAGCACGCUCAGCAUUCCAACUACCAUCUCCCCUUCUCCCAUACCCUUUGGUUUCUUGCCGACGGAGGAUUUUCCUCUGAUUUCUAAAGCCACAUGGACCAAUGUAUGUACUUUUUUUCCCUCACUGACUUCAAGGUUCAGAUUAUUGAGGUUGGACAAUGAAAUAGAUUUUUUUUCAAAAACUGCUGUGGUUUUGCUGCUACACUAAGAAUUGUGAUUUGCAUUGUAUGGUUUUGGACCGAUUCGCGUUUUUGAUGGGGGGGUGGGGGUUGAAGGGGCUAUACUGGAGUAUUGACACUUCAGAGUCAUCUCUAUCUCCUACCCAUGAUGCACUUUUAAAUGAAGAGUUAUUAGAAUAUUUUAUUGGCUAAUAUACUUUUUUCCUUGUUAUUUUUACAAAGGCCACCUUUAUCCCUUUUAAUGCCAUAUUUUCAGUGUUACACUUUUAUGGCUUUUAAUUUUUUAAUUUUUUUUAUUUGACAGAAGUAAGCAGCAUGAAUAGUUUAUACUGUGGUUUUUCAGAGACUGAAUGCCAAGAGAACUCAGUAAAUGUUUAUUCCUCUCAGCUUUCUCUUUCAAUUUCCCUAAAUAGCGCCCCAUUUGGGAACAGAGCAAGAGUGUUGAACUAAAGACCAAAAAGGAAAAAAAAAAAAAAGAUCCCCUCAAGGUGUAAAACUAUCUGGGGGAAAUAUUUGCUGGGUGUUAUGAAAGACUUGGAUGAAAUUUCAACCCUGAUGGUUUUUCAGUGAUCCAGGAAGCCAGUGAGACAAUCUCUCCAGAUGCGAAGCCCUUUCAUGAUAAUUAGAAAGGUAUGGCCAAGCCAAUGAAAACACAGGGGUAAAAUGAGAAGAGAGCCCCCACGAUUCUGUUUCACUGUUUGCUUUCUCCUGUCAUGGUUAAAAGAAAUGUGCAAUUCAAUCCUCAGUCAGUGGGUGGAGGAUAACAGGGUAGAAUUUACUUGUGUGCACUUGUAUAGUUGUAGCCAAGAGUCCAAAAGUACACUAGAGCAUGUAUGCCGGCACUGAUUUGGUAAAAAUGUGGAGUAUCCCAUUCUGACAAAAUACUAAGGGCGGCGGGGAAUGGGAAAAAAAUCAUAUAAAAAUGUUCAAAUCACCUUGUGAUCCAGUGUAACUGUUUACUAACUUGAAUAAAGCAAUUGUUCACACUACAGUGUCCAGGGUACACCUUUACUAUAAGGCUAUUUUAAUUAGCAAACAGGAAGCCAUUUGGAAAGGAUGUACUUCAAAAGAGUUGGGAGCAGGGUCUGAACACAAGCCAAUCAAAGCAGAGCCUUAUAGCGAGGGUGCCCUGAGGGCACUAUGUACAUACUGUAUUUCUAUAUUUUCCUUUGUACAGAUUCACUUAAGUCAAGCUACUGUUUUACAGGUGCUCCUUAUUUAUUAGGGCUGUGAAGGCUUGGAAAAUUACACCCAAUGAGCAAGCUCGCUUUUUAAAAAAAUAAAUGAAAAAUUAAAAAGGGCAGGGGAGGGAAGGAGGGAGGGAGGGUUUGUGGUGGGGGAAGGAGCUCAUGAGCCCAUGGGGUGAUUUCAAAACCUAGCAGAGAAAAAUUUCUAUGGGAAAAAGGAAGCACUUUUAAGAGGCUUCUGGUUGUUCUGGGCUCACAAUGUUUUUCUUUCUCCCUGACUGGUGUCAGAUUUAUUAAAACAAAAUAAAUCUCCAAGUUAAAAAAUGCA
Molecule: RNA transcript, 5029 nt
Organism: Varanus komodoensis (Komodo dragon)
Lineage: Eukaryota; Metazoa; Chordata; Lepidosauria; Squamata; Varanidae
Gene: SOBP
Gene name: sine oculis binding protein homolog
Exons: 8
Source: RefSeq, a predicted model, not a curated record